Mytilus californianus (California mussel) is the source of this 867-nucleotide long non-coding RNA. RefSeq lists it as uncharacterized. The transcript is spliced from 3 exons. The record is from RefSeq and is a predicted model, not a curated record. NCBI's taxonomy places the organism in Eukaryota, Metazoa, Mollusca, Bivalvia, Mytilida, Mytilidae.
UACUUUAAUUCAGGAGCACAGUCUGUCUUUACCGUAAAUAACUUCGAGAUUAAUAUGUAAGUUUACUUUGUUAAUCGAUGUUCCUGUAAUUCAGAUUUAAAUUUAUUUGUGAGACCCCCGUCACUAUUUAUAUUCACUCAAAGAAAGGGGUUCUCCGUUACUGGGAAAAUCCAAGGACGUAUUGUGUUAGUUAUACGUCCUUGGAAAAUCUUAUCUGAUUCAGGAUCAAUUUAUCGGUUACACUCCCCUAUCACCAGUGAUUCUUUGUGAACUGACAUUCUGAAAAAGGGCAAGAACAUUAAAGAUAAAGGGAAACUAUAAACAAAAGAAAUUAUCAACAAAAAUAGAUUUACAGACGUCAACAAAGCCUAAAUGGUCAGACAUCUUGAUUUUCAUGAUCAUCAUUCAACAGGUCAAUACUGAACAGCAAACUUAAAGUUGAUAUUUUUCUACAAAGUGUGACUUUUUUAUUAAUUUGAAAUGGAAUGUGUUUUUUUUCCUACAUAAGAAAGAGGAAAUUUCAACAUAAUGACUAUAAACAAAAAGGAGUCAUAUCAUCAUGAUCAUAGAUGCUCAAGAACUUAAUCAUGUAAAUGCAACAACGUAAUUAUCAAUUGAAAGAAAGGAGGAAUGAAAAAAUAUAUUAGUAUUUUGUUGUCCAAAUGAACUUGCUUUGUCCACUCAUUUAAAUCGCUCCAUCCAAUAAAGAUGUACGGAGGAAGAUUUUUGAAGAACAGAUUGCAAAAAUGUUUUGUCUAAGAAUUGUAGGAGUAUUCUAGUGGAUGAAAUAAUUUAUUUACUUGACUCUUAUUUAGUGGACUGAAUAAUUGUUCAUAGCAAGCUGAAACAAGAAAACUAAAAAUUAAC